AAGCUCGUAGUUGAAUUUCGGGGUUAGUAGGUUGGUCAUGCCUCUGGUAUGUACUGGUCUCACUGAUUCCUCCUUCCUUAUGAGCCGUAAUGCCAUUAAUUUGGUGUUGCGGGGAAUUUGGACUGUUACUUUGAAAAAAUUAGAGUGUUUAAAGCAGGCUAACGCUUGAAUACAUAGCAUGGAAUAAUGAAAUAGGACGUUCGAUCUUAUUUUGUUGGUUUCUAGGAUUGACGUAAUGAUUAAUAGGGAUAGUUGGGGGCAUUAGUAUUCAAUUGUCAGAGGUGAAAUUCUUGGAUUUAUUGAAGACUAACUACUGCGAAAGCAUUUGCCAAGGAUGUUUUCAUUAAUCAAGAACGAAAGUUAGGGGAUCGAAGACGAUCAGAUACCGUCGUAGUCUUAACCAUAAACUAUGCCGACUAGGGAUCGGAUGAUGUUAAUUUUUUAAUGACUCAUUCGGCGCCUUACGGGAAACCAAAGUGUUUGGGUUCCGGGGGGAGUAUGGUCGCAAGGCUGAAACUUAAAGGAAUUGACGGAAGGGCACCACCAGGGGUGGAGCCUGCGGCUUAAUUUGACUCAACACGGGGAAA
RNAcentral lists this ribosomal RNA (587 nucleotides) under uncultured Glomus. RNAcentral describes it as "SSU rRNA". It matches the Rfam family "Eukaryotic small subunit ribosomal RNA", at positions 624 to 1213 of the family's 1831-position model. Lineage: Eukaryota; Fungi; Glomeromycota; Glomeromycetes; Glomerales; Glomeraceae. The record is from RNAcentral.